This 66-nucleotide transfer RNA is filed under the name Neoporus sp. NHM-IR594. RNAcentral's name for it is "tRNA-Pro". Lineage: Eukaryota; Metazoa; Arthropoda; Insecta; Coleoptera; Dytiscidae. The record is from RNAcentral.
CAGAGAAUAGUUUAUAAAAAAUUUUAAUUUUGGAGAUUAAUGAAAAAAGCUUUCUUUUUUCUCUGA